RNAcentral lists this small RNA (364 nucleotides) under Arabidopsis thaliana (thale cress). RNAcentral's name for it is "ATSL018700". Lineage: Eukaryota; Viridiplantae; Streptophyta; Magnoliopsida; Brassicales; Brassicaceae. The record is from RNAcentral.
GUCAAGUGACCCCAUUAAUUAUAAAAAUAUAAUUUAUUACAUGUAAGUUUAUAUACUUACCCUGUUUUUUUGUUGAUUGCUGCGACAAGCACCGGCGGCACAAAAUAUAAAAGAAAAAAGAAGGAGAGAUGAAGGUGAGAUGAAUGAAAGAGUCGCAGCGAUAGAUCUGAAGAGAUAGGAGAAAGAGAAUUUGAGACGCUAAAAAUUCCAGCGUCUACGGAAUGGCCGAAUUACAGUCACUGCGGCAGAGAUGAAAGAGAGGAGAAAUGAAAGUGAAAGAGAGAUGAGAGCUUUUUUUAGAUCGCAGGUAGCUGACUUAGCGAUCAAUCAAAAAACAGGGCCAGUGUAUAACUAAUUAACUAAC